RNAcentral lists this ribosomal RNA (253 nucleotides) under uncultured bacterium. Its description in RNAcentral is "partial 16S ribosomal RNA". It matches the Rfam family "Bacterial small subunit ribosomal RNA", at positions 524 to 776 of the family's 1533-position model. The record is from RNAcentral.
GACGUAGGGCGCGAGCGUUGUCCGGAUUUAUUGGGCGUAAAGAGCUCGUAGGCGGCUUGUUGCGUCGACCGUGAAAACCCGCGGCUUAACUGCGGGCUUGCGGUUGAUACGGGCGGGCUGGAGUUCGGUAGGGGAGAUCGGAAUUCCUGGUGUAGCGGUGAAAUGCGCAGAUAUCAGGAGGAACACCGGUGGCGAAGGCGGAUCUCUGGGCCGAUACUGACGCUGAGGAGCGAAAGCGUGGGGAGCGAACAGG